UUGUCAAUCAGGGACCUGGCUAUUUUCCAGGACUUAGCUGGACCUGGGUAUAACCAAAGCCUGACUGUAUG
Mus musculus (house mouse) is the source of this 71-nucleotide non-coding RNA. Lineage: Eukaryota; Metazoa; Chordata; Mammalia; Rodentia; Muridae. The record is from Rfam.